CAGCCGCCGCGGGAAUACGAAGGGUGCAAGCGUUACUCGGAAUUACUGGGCGUAAAGCGCACGCAGGCGGUCUGUCAAGUCAGAUGUGAAAUCCCCGGGCUUAACCUGGGAACUGCAUUUGAAACUGGCAGGCUAGAGUCUUGUAGAGGGGGGUAGAAUUCCAGGUGUAGCGGUGAAAUGCGUAGAGAUCUGGAGGAAUACCGGUGGCGAAGGCGGCCCCCUGGACAAAGACUGACGCUCAGGUGCGAAAGCGUGGGGAGCAAACAGGAUUAGAUACCCCGGUAGUCCCUGUCUCUUAUAC
Molecule: ribosomal RNA, 301 nt
Filed under: uncultured bacterium
Lineage: Bacteria
Description: partial 16S ribosomal RNA
Rfam family: Bacterial small subunit ribosomal RNA
Source: RNAcentral